CAAAAUUUGGAGCUUUGAAUUAUUUUUGUGAUUUUUUUUCCCAUUUUUUGCUCUUGCUAUAAGUCGUAGCUCUCAAAGGUUGCAACCAUCAAUCUCAAACCCUAUUCUACUUGCAAUAUAGCUUGAACCAUCAAAAAGUUAGUGGCAAAUCUAGUCUUACCAUACCGUUUCAAAUCCCGUCCAUUUGUGUGUUUUCUCAUUAAAUCUAAAAUAAUGAUAGGCCGAUACAAAAAAUCCACUAUAAACUUAGUACCUUAAUGACAUAUUUUACCCAAGUGACAUCUUUAUCAAUAUCUUCUAGAA
This 303-nucleotide long non-coding RNA is filed under the name Amborella trichopoda. Its description in RNAcentral is "long non-coding RNA (ATRI_LNC003897)". Lineage: Eukaryota; Viridiplantae; Streptophyta; Magnoliopsida; Amborellales; Amborellaceae. The record is from RNAcentral.